Molecule: ribosomal RNA, 376 nt
Filed under: uncultured bacterium
Lineage: Bacteria
Description: bacterial SSU rRNA
Rfam family: Bacterial small subunit ribosomal RNA
Source: RNAcentral
UACGGAGGGUGCAAGCGUUAAUCGGAAUUACUGGGCGUAAAGGGUGCGUAGGUGGUUAAGUAAGUUAUCUGUGAAAUCCCUGGGCUCAACCUGGGCAGGUCAGAUAAAACUGCAUAACUCGAGUAUGGGAGAGGGUAGUGGAAUUUCCGGUGUAGCGGUGAAAUGCGUAGAGAUCGGAAGGAACACCAGUGGCGAAGGCGGCUACCUGGCCUAAUACUGACACUGAGGCACGAAAGCGUGGGGAGCAAACAGGAUUAGAUACCCUGGUAGUCCACGCUGUAAACGAUGUCAACUAGUUGUUGGGUAUAUGAAUAUACUUAGUGACGAAGCAAACGCGAUAAGUUGACCGCCUGGGGAGUACGGUCGCAAGAUUAAA